AUCCAGGUCUCUGAUGUGGGUGGCCGGAGCCCAAUUACUCAAGCCAUCAUCACUGCCUUCUACAGUGUGCACUGGCAGAAAGCUGCAAUCAGGAACUAGAGCUGAAAACAGAACCCAGACACUCCAAGCAAUUAGGAGUUUGAAGCUUGGGAAAGAUUUGACAGAUUCUUCAUCUUGAGGAAUGAUUUGAAGAGAGUCUUAGCCCAUUUGAGCAGGUGGGCAUUCGGUACAGCAGUAAAGACCUGAAUUUGGACACCUGCAUCUCAUAUCAGAGCAUUCAACUACAAAUCACCGUUCAACUUCCUGUUCUAGAUUUCUGCCCAAGUGCAUCCUGGGAGGCAACAGGUGGUAGCUCAGAUAGUUUGUUCCCUACCACUACGUGGGAGACCUGAAUUGAGUUCCCAGCUGUUCCCCGACAGCCCCACACAUGGUGUUCAUUGAGGACUGAACCAGAAGAUAGAAGGUUACUGUCUUUCUA
Molecule: long non-coding RNA, 478 nt
Filed under: Oryctolagus cuniculus (rabbit)
Lineage: Eukaryota; Metazoa; Chordata; Mammalia; Lagomorpha; Leporidae
Description: lncRNA (ENSOCUG00000036815.1)
Source: RNAcentral